AUAGUUGGCUUGUCAUCAGUGACCAAAAGAAUGUGUUUUGACGCUGCAUGAAUCAACACAAUAUUCUUUCCACCAACCUUUCAAUAAUUUCUUCUCUUUUGCCUAGACUUGGCUCUUGUCUUCCAAAUUUCCUUGAUCUUUCUGCCUCUCAGCUUCCUUCUCAAACUUCUCCUUUUCCCUCAUCUGGAAGAAGUCUUCACCGAUAGGUAGAUCACCUGCAUUAAAAUGACUAUCGACAUGUACCACAAGACGAUCUGGCAAAGAUGAUGUCUGACGAUGGACUAGCUAGUAGUAGUAUUUACCUCCCCACCCAUAGCCUCGAGGUGGAAGGAGUCCGCACAUGACACGGUGGCAUGUAGGAUGCUGAGCCCUACAUUAGAUUAAAUUGGAUUAGAUUUGAAAAUUUUAGGGGAUAAUAAACCCUAACUAAGACCCUGAGUACCUGGGUUAGGCAGGGGACAGGGUCGCUGGGCGCGACAUCUAGUGUGUAUUAUGGCUCUAUGGCUCCCAGAUUGUGUACCUUGGUUGCUCGACGGCGUUGUGGCCAACGUGGCUAGGUGCACCGGCUCUGCUUCUCCAGCUGGGCGAGGGUGGGGUGGAGCUCUGCUCAAUGCUUAGGCUCAGGAACAGGCGGCUAGACGGGUGUAGAGAUCUGCUACUCGAGGGCGGGCGCUGCUGGGGGCGGGAGAGACGGCCGCGGCGGCGGCCGGGGCGGGCUCCAGGGGUCCGGAGCGCGGUCGGGGGCGGGACGGCGGCCGUGGCGAGCGGCGGCCGGGGCAGGCGGCUCGGGGGUGGGGCGCGGUCGGGGUCGGGAGAGCUGGGACGGGCGGCUCGGAGGCGAGGCGCGGUCGGGGUCGGGAGAGCUAGGGCGGGCGGCGGCCGGGACGAGGCCCACCGGGGGCGGCGCGGUCGGAGGCGGUGUGGUCAGGGGCGGCGGGGCCAGGGGCGGCGUGGCCGUGCGUGGGAGAAGGGCACGCGGGAGAGGCGUGAGACAGAUAUUUUGUGAAAUUUUGUGAAAGGUGAGAGAAGAGGGAGGUAAAAAUUAAAAAAACAUAACUUCCUAGAGUAAAGCUGUAGGAAGUUAGGUAACUUUCUAGAGUUUGUGCUUGGCCUCUAGGAAGUUAAUUAACUUCCUACAGCCGGCCAUAGGAAGUUAGAUUUACAUUUGACCGGUCAACAGAUGAAUCCUAACUUCCUAGAUGAGGCCGUAGGAAGUUAGCUGCCCAGCUAACUUCCUAGAGCCAGCCGUAGGAAGUUAUGUUUUCGGUUGACUGGUCAAUAGCUCAAACCUAACUUCCUAGAGGAGGCCGUAGGAAGUUAUCUAGGCAGCUAACUUCCUAGAGCCAGCCGUAGGAAGUUAGCUAUUCUAUUGGCUUGUGAACGGAUGAAACCUAGCUUCCUAGAGGAUGCCGUAGGAAGUUAACUGGGCAGCUAACUUCCUAGAGCUAGCCGUAGGAAGUUAGCUAUUCUAUUGGCUUGUGAACGGAUGAAACCUAACUUCCUAGAGGAGGCCGUAGGAAGUUAGUUAAGUUCCUACGGUUUUUUAACUUCCGACAGCUUUUAUAAAAAACCGUAGGAAGUUAUGUUUAUUUCCUAGAGGUACCAGUUGCCUCUCGGAAGUUAUUUAUUUCCUACGGUUUGUUAUAAAAGCUGUAGGAAGUUAAAAAACCGUAGGAAGUGUAUGAUUUUGGUGUAGUGUUUGCACUUAAAAGCAUAAUUGUUACCAUCCUUUGGCUUUCCUCCAUGUUGUAGGUCUUGACUUUUCGACUUGGGAUUAGUUCUUUGUUUCCUACAACAUCAAUAUUUUCCCGAGAUGAUAUGAGUUUUAGACAUAAUAAUUUGAAAUAACCUUGGGUCAAUCUUGGAUAUGU
This 1871-nucleotide long non-coding RNA is filed under the name Zea mays. RNAcentral describes it as "long non-coding RNA (ZMAY_LNC005101)". The record is from RNAcentral. Lineage: Eukaryota; Viridiplantae; Streptophyta; Magnoliopsida; Poales; Poaceae.